This 3871-nucleotide long non-coding RNA is filed under the name Homo sapiens (human). RNAcentral's name for it is "non-protein coding APCDD1L-DT:37". Lineage: Eukaryota; Metazoa; Chordata; Mammalia; Primates; Hominidae. The record is from RNAcentral.
AGAAGCGAGGCAGCCGUGAGGCGGAGGACAGGCUGGGGGAUCCCAAAGGGUGCGCUCCAGCCCCCAACCCAGGCACUGGGACUCUGGUGGCACCCUGGGUGGCAGGCAAGCCUUGAAAUCAAGUGCACGAGCCUUGGAAAGGAGGACCGGGAGAGUUAUGGCAUUUAUGAAUGAAGAAGAGAAAGAGAAUCACUCGGAUGGGAAAAGUUAACUGGAUUGUUCCCACCUGCAUGGAUCACCGGAAGCAACUUAGCCGUCUCGCCUUGCGGCCUGGAACCCCUGGCAAUUUCCGGAGCACCGGCAAGAGACUUUUGCACAGUUUCUGCUUGGAGUCUACCGACUGUCUGUCUCAGAGGUCUGGACAGCUGCUUGUUACAUUUGGCUCACGCUAGCUUAAAAAAGGAAUUUAUGGACCUUACUGCAGAACGUCCCAAUUCUUCAGGCCAAGCUCCAGGAAAUUAAGAAACAUGCCAUUAGUUUUAGCAAACAAUUUGAACAAAGUAAAACCAGAUCUCCCACCAAAGGCCGAGGACCAUGAGGGGUCUGAGUGCCCCUGGCCCUGUUUGUGGACUCUGCGGGUCGUGGAGGAGCCAUGAAGUGGGAAGAGAGCUUGGGUGAUACAGGAUGGUGUGCGUGACAGUCCUCCCUGUGUCUUCUUUGCUACCAUAUUUAUCAUAGCUUAGAUGUGUGUGGCCUGGUGGCACCAAAGGUGAACAGAAAGCAUUUUUGGGGCGCCAUGGCCCAGACCUCAGCCUGAACGUUGUGGGAAGCCAGUGGGUGUCUGCAUGUGUUGGCGAGAACCAGUGGGCAUCUCCUUGGAAGCCAGUCCCCAAGGUGGCUCUAGAUGGCUUACUCCUGCAUCUUGCCAAAUCCACAGGGUCCAGCUGUGUCUCCAGGGCUGCGUGGCUUAUUGAAAAAGAGAGUGUAUGGUGGAUUUCAAUAUCUAUAUUCUACAAAAAAUGUAAAAGGGGCAGGGGACGGGAACAAAGAAACCAGUGCUGGUGAUCCUGCCCCCACAGUAAGGUCUGCUUUAGUGUGGACAUGGGACAGGGGCCAGCCCCUGCUGCUCCCUGGGGGAACACAGGUCCGUGGGGGUGGCUCACCGUCAUGUAUGUGAUUUUGAUGUUUGUACAUUUGUUGUACCACAUGAACCAGUCUUGGACGGCUGUUCUGAGUAAAUGGGAUGAUGUGGGUAAAGCCCCCAAGACCAGAGCCUGGCACAGGGCCGUGCUGGAUAAUGCUGACUCAUGGUGAUGAGGGGAAGGAGGAGGCAGGAUGCCAUGGGUGAGGAGUCCAGGCUCCAGUGCUGCUGAACCACCAUCCACCAGUAUGAUCUCAGCAAGCCUCUCUCCACCUGGACCCAGAUGAUUCACCCGUUAAACAUCCCAGGCACAUUGAAGGGAGAUGAACAGCGUCCAGCAUGGUCCUCAGCUGUGAGAAGCCAUACACUCGCCUUUUCCACCCUACAACUUUCCGUCAUCUGGGGUGCAGGUUUCUUUCCUCUCUUUUUACUUAUUACAAGGUAAAAUACAGUCUUAUUACAGAAAACUAGAAACCAGAAAAGCCCAUCACACAGUCAUUCAUUCAACAAAUGCGUAUUGGGAAGGGUGGGGAUGAGCCCCUGGUGGAAAUGGGGUGAAGCUGUGGACUUUCUCUGGGUGCGAUGAAGGCUGACGGAGGGCUUUGAGCAUCCUCAAGAUUCAGAAGUCUGUUCUCAGUCAUCAGCAGCUGUACCAGGAGAGGAAGAACCUCUGAAGUGUUCUGGCUCCAAAAGCUAGUGAAAGUGCAGAUUUCCUGAGAAGGAGUGAAGCUUAGGGCCCUGCCAGGCAGUGAUGCUUUCUCAACUUUGGGGGCAGUAAAAUGUACAGACUCUGGGGAAGGAGACCAGGAAGGAGGCUGCAAAGUGUGCAUGCUCUGGGAAGGGGGCAGGGAAGGCUGGCAAAAAGCUGUUGGGGACCCAGCCAGGCUGCUUCCCUUGGAGGCCCAGCCUGAGAUGUGUUUCCCACCAUAUAUGGCAGAAAUGAUUUCAGGUGCUAUGUAGAUAAGCCACGAACUAUCAUUGAAUCUUUUCUUGGUUGUAUUGUGAAAGAAAAAGUCUCUGUUGGGUGCUGGUGUAUCUUCGACACCACUUAACACUUGUCAAGCUCUCCUUUACUGAGGUAAAGCAGUCCUCAGGCUCAGAGCUUGUGACCAGGGAGCGGUAUCUAGCCAAAAUUUUAUUUCAAUGCUUUGUUUUCAUUGUCUUUAAAACAAAAGAUGGUUAUCUUCCAUUUGCCAUGAAAGAUACUGCUUCCCAUUUCUGUUUUUUACUCAUUUUUCAUUAAGGUAUAAUUUGCAUGCAGUAAAGUCUCGUCUUUUUAGUGUACAGUUCUGUGGAAUUUCGAUAAAUGUAUCCAGUGUGCAACCAUCACAUCAAGAUAUAGAAGGGUUCCUUCACCCCUAAAUCCUUCCUUGGGGAUGACAACCUCUCUUCACCCUCAGUCCUUUGCAACUAAUAAUCUGUUUUCUUUUCCUAUAGUUUUGUCUUUUCUAGCAUGUCCCAUAAAUGGAAUCUUAUAGCACGUAGCCUUUUGAGUCUUGCUUCUCUCACUUAGCAGAAUGCAUCUGAUAUCCAUUCACAUUGUGCCUGUAUCAGUAGUUCAUUCAUUUUUAAUAAUGAGUGGUGUUCAGUUGUAGGCCUACACUAUAAUUUGUAGAGGGACAUUAGGAUUGUUUCCAGAUUUGGCAGUUACAAAUAAAGCCCCUAUAAACAUUCACGUACAAGUUUUUCAUGAGCAUGGGUUUUCAUUUCUCUUGGGUAAGUACCGAUAAGUAGGAUUGCUAUGUUGUCUAAUACAUGCAUGUUUAACUUUGUAAGAAAUGGCCAAGCUGUUUUUCAGAGUGGCUAUACUAUUUUGCAUUCCUACCAGCAAUGUACGAGAGUUCCAGUUGCUCCAUAUCCUCAUCAGCACUUGAUGUUGUCAGAUUUUUUUUUUUGUUUUUGUUAGUCUAAUGGGUAUGUACUAGUAUCUCACUGUGGUUUUAGUUUGUAUUUUCCUGAUGACUAAUGAUGUUUAACACCUUUUUAUGGGCUUAUUUAAAAUCACUAUAUUUUCUUUGGUGAAGAUUUCAAACCUUUUGCCCAUUUUAAAAUUCGAAUUGUUUGUGUUUUAUUAUUGAACUUAUUGAGUAUUUACAUAUUCUGGAUACAAGUUCUUUUCUAGAUAUGUUAUUAGCAAAUUAUUCUGCUAGCUUUCUUAUUAAUUUUCUUAAUGAUGUCUCUUGGAGAUUGUAUUAAUUAGUCUGUUCUCAUGCUGCUAAUAAAGACAUACCUGAGACUGAGUAAUUUAUAAAGGAAAGAGGUUUAAUUGACUCACAGUUCAGCAAGGCUGGGGGAGCCUCAGGAAAUGUACAAUCAUGGAGGAAGGGGAAGCAAAUAUGUCUUUCUUCACAUGGCAGCAGGAAGGAGAAAUGCCAAGCAAAAGGGGGAAAAGCCCCUUAUAAAACCAUCAGAUCUCGUGAGAACUCACUCACUAUCACAAGAGCAGCAGCAUGGAGGUAACUGCCCCCAUGAUUCAAUUACCUCCCACCAGAUCCCUCCCAUGACAUGUGGAGAUUUUGGGAACUACAAUUCAAGAUGAGAGCUGGGUGGGAACACAGCCAAACCAUAUCAGAGAUCAUAGGUUGUUAAUUUUGAUCAAGUAUAAUUUAUCAAUUUUUUCUUUUGUGGAUUAUAUUUUUGGGGCCAUAUCUGAGAAAUAUUUACUUAAUCUAGGGUCACAAAGAUUAUCUUCUAUGUUUUCUCCUGAAGGUUUUAUAGUUUAAAGUUUUACAUUGAAGUCUAUUAUCUAUUUUGAGUGAAUAUUUUGAUAUAGUGUGAUAUAUGAAUGGA